UUUGUUAAUCCAGCAUUGGUCUCAAAAGCUGGAAUGGGAGAGGGAAGCAAGGAAAACAGUGCCCAAGACAACCAGGUAGUGUGGAAUGUGGGUAUUACGUGAUGAGAUAUAUGAAGGAAAUCAUUGCUAAUCCAAACCAACUAACAUCAAAGGUUUGCACUCAAUUCAAUUCAUAUGGUUGGUCAUUUUACUAUAGUAUUUUUUUUUUUUGGUCAAUUGAACUUAGUGAAUUGUAUAUGUCACUCCAAUUCAGUUUUGCAGGAAGAAAUCAUAUAGUGAAAUGGAAAUUAAUGAAGUUCGAUCAGAUUGGGUUAUGUUAGUGACUCAGUUAAUCAUUACUCAUGUUUGAAGUUGGCAGUGUUUUCAAUAUGGAUCAUUUUGGGGGUUGCUCUAUUAUGAUUGAUGUAUAGUUGGCAUAUUGAGAG
Molecule: long non-coding RNA, 425 nt
Organism: Vitis riparia (riverbank grape)
Lineage: Eukaryota; Viridiplantae; Streptophyta; Magnoliopsida; Vitales; Vitaceae
Exons: 3
Source: RefSeq, a predicted model, not a curated record